Molecule: ribosomal RNA, 490 nt
Filed under: uncultured bacterium
Lineage: Bacteria
Description: partial 16S ribosomal RNA
Rfam family: Bacterial small subunit ribosomal RNA
Source: RNAcentral
AUUGAACGCUGGCGGCAGGCCUAACACAUGCAAGUCGAACGGUAACAGGAAGAAGCUUGCUUCUUUGCUGACGAGUGGCGGACGGGUGAGUCAUGUCUGGGAAACUGCCUGCUGGAGGGGGAUAACUACUGGAAACGGUAGCUAAUACCGCAUAACGUCGCAAGCCCAAAAAGGGGGACCUUCGGGCCUCUUGCCAUCGGAUGUGCCCAGAUGGGAUUCGCUAGUAGGUGGGGUAACGGCUCACCUAGGCGACGAUCCCUAGCUGGUCUGAGAGGAGGACCGGCCACACUAGAGCUGAGACACGGUCCAGACUCCUACGGGAGGCAGCAGUGGGGAAUAUUGCACAGUGGGCGCAAGCCUGAUGCAGCCAUGCCGCGUGUAUGAAGAAGGCCUUCGGUUUGUAAAGUACUUUCUGCGGGGAGGAAGGGAGUAAAGUUAAUACCUUUGCUCAGUGACGUUACCCGCAAAAGAAGCACCGGCUAACUCCGUG